This 779-nucleotide ribosomal RNA is filed under the name uncultured Streptococcus sp. RNAcentral's name for it is "bacterial SSU rRNA". It matches the Rfam family "Bacterial small subunit ribosomal RNA", at positions 28 to 776 of the family's 1533-position model. The record is from RNAcentral. Lineage: Bacteria; Bacillati; Bacillota; Bacilli; Lactobacillales; Streptococcaceae.
GACGGAAGCCGGCGGGCGUGCCCUAAUCCAUGCAAGUAGAACGCUGAAGGAAGGAGCUGGCUCUUUCCGGAUGAGUUGCGAACGGGUGAGUAACGCGUAAGGUAACCCUGCCUGGUAGCGGGGGAUAACUUUUGGGAAACGAUAGCUAAUACCGCAUAACAGUAGAUAUCGCAUGAUAUUUGCUUGAGAGGGUGCAAUUGCACCACUACCAGAUGGACCUGCGUUGUAUUUAGCUAGUUGGUGAGGGUAAACGGCUCACCAAGGCAACGAUACAUAGCCCGACCUGAGAGGGGUGAUCGGCCCACACUGGGGACUGAGACACGGCCCCAGACUCCUACGGGAGGCAGCAGUAGGGAAUCUUCGGCAAUGGACGGAAGUCUGACCGAGCAACGCCGCGUGAGUGAAGAAGGUUUUCGGAUCGUAAAGCUCUGUUGUAAGAGAAGAACGAGUGUGAGAGUGGAAAGUUCACACUGUGACGGUAUCUUACCAGAAAGGGACGGCUAACUACGUGCCAGCAGCCGCGGUAAUACGUAGGUCCCGAGCGUUGUCCGGAUUUAUUGGGCGUAAAGCGAGCGCAGGCGGUUAGAUAAGUCUGAAGUUAAAGGCUGUGGCUUAACCAUAGUACGCUUUGGAAACUGUUUAACUUGAGUGCAAGAGGGGAGAGUGGAAUUCCAUGUGUAGCGGUGAAAUGCGUAGAUACAUGGAGGAACACCAGUGGCGAAAGCGGCUCUCUGGCUUGUAACUGACGCUGAGGCUCGAAAGCGUGGGGAGCAAACAGG